This 200-nucleotide unclassified non-coding RNA is filed under the name uncultured Ascomycota. RNAcentral's name for it is "sequence contains ITS2". Lineage: Eukaryota; Fungi; Ascomycota. The record is from RNAcentral.
UUAAGUUCAGCGGGUCUUCCUACCUGAUCCGAGGUCAACCUUGGGUAAAAAAGGCUUUUUAACGGCCGGAACCCGCAGCACGCCCUGAGCGAGAUAAAAUCUACUACGCCCGGUGUGACAGCGAGCCCGCCACUGGUUUCAGGGCCUGCGGCAGCCGCAGGUCCCCAACACAAGCCUGGGGCUUGAUGGUUGAAAUGACG